GCCUGGGUGGCUCAGUCGGUUGAGCAUCUGACUUCAGCUCAGGUCAUGAUCUCGUGGUUUGUGAGUUCGAGCCCCACAUCGGAUU
This 85-nucleotide transfer RNA is filed under the name Felis catus (domestic cat). It matches the Rfam family "tRNA". Rfam says of the family: Transfer RNA (tRNA) molecules are approximately 80 nucleotides in length. Their secondary structure includes four short double-helical elements and three loops (D, anti-codon, and T loops). Further hydrogen bonds mediate the characteristic L-shaped molecular structure. tRNAs have two regions of fundamental functional importance: the anti-codon, which is responsible for specific mRNA codon recognition, and the 3' end, to which the tRNAs corresponding amino acid is attached (by aminoacyl-tRNA synthetases). tRNAs cope with the degeneracy of the genetic code in two manners: having more than one tRNA (with a specific anti-codon) for a particular amino acid; and 'wobble' base-pairing, i.e. permitting non-standard base-pairing at the 3rd anti-codon position. Lineage: Eukaryota; Metazoa; Chordata; Mammalia; Carnivora; Felidae. The record is from Rfam by way of RNAcentral.